RNAcentral lists this transfer RNA (98 nucleotides) under Pholiota conissans. RNAcentral describes it as "tRNA-Val". Lineage: Eukaryota; Fungi; Basidiomycota; Agaricomycetes; Agaricales; Strophariaceae. The record is from RNAcentral.
GGUUCAAUGGUCUAGUGGUUAUGAUUUCUGUCUCACAUUGGGAUACAAGCCGCUCAUACGGUCACAGAAGGUCUCCAGUUCGAUCCUGGAUUGAACCA